Vicia villosa (hairy vetch) is the source of this 338-nucleotide long non-coding RNA. RefSeq lists it as uncharacterized. The record is from RefSeq and is a predicted model, not a curated record. The transcript has 2 exons. NCBI's taxonomy places the organism in Eukaryota, Viridiplantae, Streptophyta, Magnoliopsida, Fabales, Fabaceae.
CACAAGAAUAGAGGGGAAAGAGGCAAGACUAUGAAGAAGAAGAAUGAGCUUGAAGAUUUACAUCCAUGGUGCCAAAUCGGAAGAGCAAUCGGAGACCCAACAAGUUACUUCAAAUUGAAUAAGGUAUUCAAGUACGAAGACUUAGUUGUCGUUACUCGAGUCGGUUGUCGCUCUGAUACGUAGCACUCUGGGGGGAACGACUUAUGUCAUUCAUGAUGUUGUUGUUUAAUUGUUUCAUUUUGGUUGGACAAAAUGAUAAGUUAACUAAAAAUAUUUUAUUGAAUACUUGUUUAAGUGAUUCCGCUGUGUUUUAAUAAAAUAAGUUAUUCUGUUUCAAA